RNAcentral lists this microRNA precursor (63 nucleotides) under Rattus norvegicus (Norway rat). RNAcentral's name for it is "Rno-Mir-3068_pre stem-loop". The record is from RNAcentral. Lineage: Eukaryota; Metazoa; Chordata; Mammalia; Rodentia; Muridae.
UUGGAGUUCAUGCAAGUUCUAACCAGUUUAACCAGUAGCUGGGUGAAUUGCAGUACUCCAACA